UACGUAGGGGGCGAGCGUUGUCCGGAUUUAUUGGGCGUAAAGAGCUCGUAGGCGGUUUGGUAAGUUGGAUGUGAAAUCUCCAGGCUCAACUUGGAGGGGUCAUUCGAUACUGCCAUGACUAGAGUUCGGUAGGGGAGUGUGGAAUUCCUGGUGGAGCGGUGAAAUGCGCAGAUAUCAGGAAGAACACCCGUGGCGAAGGCGGCUCUCUGGGGCGGUACUGACGCUGAGACGCGAAAGCGUGGGGAGCGAACAGG
This 254-nucleotide ribosomal RNA is filed under the name uncultured bacterium. RNAcentral's name for it is "partial 16S ribosomal RNA". It matches the Rfam family "Bacterial small subunit ribosomal RNA", at positions 524 to 776 of the family's 1533-position model. The record is from RNAcentral.